UACGUAGGGGGCAAGCGUUGUCCGGAUUUAUUGGGCGUAAAGAGCGUGUAGGCGGCCAGGCAAGUCCGUUGUGAAAACUAGAGGCUUAACCUCUAGACGUCGAUGGAAACUGUUUGGCUAGAGUCCGGAAGAGGAGAAUGGAAUUCCUGGUGUAGCGGUGAAAUGCGCAGAUAUCAGGAAGAACACCCGUGGCUAAGGCGGUUCUCUAGUACGGUACUGACGCUGAGACGCGAAAGCGUGGGGAGCGAACAGG
This 253-nucleotide ribosomal RNA is filed under the name uncultured bacterium. Its description in RNAcentral is "partial 16S ribosomal RNA". It matches the Rfam family "Bacterial small subunit ribosomal RNA", at positions 524 to 776 of the family's 1533-position model. The record is from RNAcentral.